ACGCUAUGGAGGCCCGAACCGGUUGACGUUGAAAAGUCUUCGGAUGAGCUGUGGAUAGGGGUGAAAGGCCAAUCAAACUUGGAGAUAGCUCGUACUCCCCGAAAUAUAUUUAGGUAUAGCGUCUGGUUUUGUCUGCCCGGAGGUAGAGCACUGAUUAGGCUAGGGGGCUUCACCGCCUACCAACCCUAGACAAACUCCGAAUACCGGGCCAGAGCCACCAGGCAGUCAGUCCUAGGGUGAUAACGUCCUAGGGCGAGAGGGGAACAACCCAGACCACCAGCUAAGGUCCCUAAAUGAUGGCUAAGUUGAUCAAAGAAAGUUGAGUUGCUCAGACAACUAGGAGGUUGGCUUAGAAGCAGCCAUCCCUUUAAAGAGUGCGUAAUAGCUCACUAGUCAAGCGACUCGGCGUCGAUAAUAAUCGGGCAUAAGUCAUCUGCCGAAGCUGUGGGAUAGUAAUAUCGGUAGGGGAGCAUUCCAGUCUGCGUAGAAGAAGAUCUGUGAAGAUUUUUGGAGUGGUUGGAAGCGAAACUGUAGGCAUGAGUAACGAUAAGAUGGGUGAAAAACCUAUCCACCGUAAACCCAAGGGUUCCUGAUCAACGCUAAUCGGAUCAGGGUUAGUCGAGACCUAAGGUGUACCCGGUGAGGCCGGGGAAGCUGAUGGCAAAGCGGUUAAAUAUUCCGCUACCCUAGCAAGCGCUAGGCUAAGGCGUGACGCAGAAGUGACACUCCCGCGUGCUGACGAAUGCACGUUGAAGGGUGUAGGCUAGAGAGUAGGCAAAUCCGCUCUCUGAGAAGGCUGAAACCCGACAGUACCUGGAAUCUUCGGACGAAGGGAUAGUGGAGGUAAUCAUGCUGCCAAGAAAAGCGUCGUAGUUUGUUUGUUAGGCUCGUACCCCAAACCGACACAGGUGGGUGAGGAGAGUAUCCUCAGGUGCUCGAGUGAAUCAUGGCUAAGGAACUAGGCAAAUUAGAUCCGUAACUUCGGGAGAAGGAUCCCCCUGGCAACAGGGGCGCAGUGAAAAGGCCCAAGCGACUGUUUACCAAAAACACAUGUCUCUGCUAAGCCGUAAGGCGAUGUAUAGGGACUGACACCUGCCCGGUGCCGGAAGGUUAAAGAAGGGGGUUAUCUUCGGAGAAGCUCUUGACUGUAUGGGGGCUGACACCUGCCCAGUGCCGGAAAAGUUUAAGGGAGGCUGGUUUAGCUUUUAGUGAAGCUGGCGCCUGAAGCCCCAGUGAAACGGCGGCGUAACAAUAACGGUCCUAAGGUAGCGAAAUUCCUUGUCGGGUAAGUUCCGACCUGCACGAAUGGCGUAACGAUCUCCCCGCUGUCUCAAACGUAACUAUAACGGUCCUAAGGUAGCGAAAUUCCUUGUCGGGUAAGUUCCGACCUGCACGAAUGGUGUAACGACUUGGGCACUGUCUCGGCCAUGAGCUCGGUGAAAUUGUGGUAUCGGUGAUGACGCCGAUUACCCGCAGCGGGACGAAAAGACCCCGUGAACCUUUACUACAACUUUACAUUGGCUUUAGCUGUAGCAUGUGUAGGAUAGGCGGGAGGCUAUGAAGAAGCGUCGCCAGGCGUUUUGGAGCCAC
RNAcentral lists this ribosomal RNA (1590 nucleotides) under metagenome. RNAcentral describes it as "bacterial LSU rRNA". It matches the Rfam family "Bacterial large subunit ribosomal RNA", at positions 761 to 2189 of the family's 2925-position model. The record is from RNAcentral.